Molecule: ribosomal RNA, 1349 nt
Filed under: metagenome
Description: bacterial LSU rRNA
Rfam family: Bacterial large subunit ribosomal RNA
Source: RNAcentral
UGAGUCCGAGGAACUAAGGUUCCAAAGUGAUGCGAGUCAUACUUCCCAGAAAAGCCCGAACCACGUUAAUUUCUAAUUACCUGUACCCGAAACCGACACAGGUAGGAAGGUAGAGAAUACUAAGGGGCGCGAGAUAACUCUCUCUAAGGAACUCGGCAAAAUUACCCCGUAACUUUGGGAGAAGGGGUGCCACCGCAAGGUGGUCGCAGUGAAUAGGCCCAGGCGACUGUUUACCAAAAACACAGGUCUCCGCCAAGUCGCAAGACGCAGUAUGGGGGCUGACGCCUGCCCAGUGCCGGAAGGUUAAGGAAGUUGGUUAGUUUCGACGAAGCUAGCGACCGAAGCCCCGGUGAACGGCGGCCGUAACUAUAACGGUCCUAAGGUAGCGAAAUUCCUUGUCGGGUAAGUUCCGACCCGCACGAAAGGCGUAACGAUCUGGGCACUGUCUCGGAGAGAGGCUCGGCGAAAUAGGAUUGUCUGUGAAGAUACGGACUACCUGCACCUGGACAGAAAGACCCUAUGAAGCUUUACUGUAGCUUGGAAUUGGGUUCGGGCUUCCCUUGCGCAGCAUAGGUGGGAGGCGUUGAAGUUUUCCUUGUGGGGAAAAUGGAGCCAACGGUGAGAUACCACUCUAGGGAGGCUAGAAUUCUAACUUUAACCCGUUAGCCGGGGAAAGGACAGUUUCAGGUGGGCAGUUUGACUGGGGCGGUCGCCUCCUAAAAGGUAACGGAGGCGCGCGAAGGUUCCCUCAGGCUGGUUGGAAAUCAGCCGUAGAGUGCAAAGGCAUAAGGGAGCUUGACUGCGAGACUUACAAGUCAAGCAGGGUGGAAACACGGCCUUAGUGAUCCGACGGCACCGAGUGGAAGGGCCGUCGCUCAACGGAUAAAAGUUACUCUAGGAUAACAGGCUGAUCUCCCCCAAGAGUUCACAUCGACGGGGAGGUUUGGCACCUCGAUGUCGGCUCAUCGCAACCUGGGGCUGUAGUAGGUCCCAAGGGUUGGGCUGUUCGCCCAUUAAAGCGGUACGUGAGCUGGGUUCAGAGCGUCGUGAGACAGUUCGGUCCAUAUCCGGUGUAGGCGUAAGAGCAUUGAGAGGAGCCUUCCUUAGUACGAGAGGACCGGGAAGGACGCACCGCUGGUGUACCUGUUAUCGUGCCAACGGUAAACGCAGGGUAGCCAAGUGCGGAGCGGAUAACCGCUGAAAGCAUCUAAGUGGGAAGCCCACCUCAAGAUGAGUGCUCUCACAGGGUUAACCUGGUAAGGUCACGGGAAGACCACCCGUUAAUAGGCACUAGGUGGAAGUCCAGUAAUGGAUGGAGCCAAGGUGUACUAACAGACCGAGGGCUUGAC